AUUGAACGCUGGCGGCAUGCUUUACACAUGCAAGUCGAACGGCAGCGCGGGCUUCGGCCUGGCGGCGAGUGGCGAACGGGUGAGUAAUGCAUCGGAACGUGCCCAGUAGUGGGGAUAUCCCGGCGAAAGCCGGCUUAAUACCGCAUACGACCUGAGGGUGAAAGCGGGGGACCGAAAGGCCUCGCGCUAUUGGCGCGGCCGAUGUCGGAUUAGCCAGUUGGUGGGGUAAAGGCUUACCAAGGCGACGAUCCGUAGCUGGUCUGAGAGGACGACCAGCCACACUGGGACUGAGACACGGCCCAGACUCCUACGGGAGGCAGCAGUGGGGAAUUUUGGACAAUGGGGGCAACCCUGAUCCAGCCAUGCCGCGUGCGAGAAGAAGGCCUUCGGGUUGUAAACCGCUUUUGUUCGGGAAGAAAUCCUCUGGGCUAAUACCCCGGGGGGAUGACGGUACCGGAAGAAUAAGCACCGGCUAACUACGUG
This 483-nucleotide ribosomal RNA is filed under the name uncultured bacterium. RNAcentral describes it as "partial 16S ribosomal RNA". It matches the Rfam family "Bacterial small subunit ribosomal RNA", at positions 28 to 507 of the family's 1533-position model. The record is from RNAcentral.